Helicoverpa zea (corn earworm) is the source of this 854-nucleotide long non-coding RNA. RefSeq lists it as uncharacterized. The record is from RefSeq and is a predicted model, not a curated record. NCBI's taxonomy places the organism in Eukaryota, Metazoa, Arthropoda, Insecta, Lepidoptera, Noctuidae. The transcript is spliced from 3 exons.
CUGGUAUUGAUCGUGACCUGCGCAGUGCAGUUAGAGCUUUCUAGACCAGACUUCUCUUUGUCUGAGUAUCCAGUGCGUCGCCCGAAGUCUGCCGUGCAUCACGUGUGACUCCUUCAAGACUUGCUUCUGUGUUCCGGAGCCCUAUCUUAUCACGUAGCCUUCAGUUAUGCAGGUUGCUGGUUGGGGAAGGCAUCUUUGAAAACGGCUGAUGAUUGAAGAUGCAGUCUUAAGCAGUGGGCCGUCGAGUCGAGUGAUAGGAGGCAUCAUGAUGAUCUCGCUGUACCAGCUCGCAUUCUCUCCACACGUGGCAUUGCUCCGGCACGUGGCACGCGGCGCCACUUGAGCGCGCUGCGACGGGGCGCAAGUGGCGCCACCAACACCUGAAGCGCCAAAGUCAACCUCACCUGCACGCGGCGCGCCCUGCUCAUACCGACGAGGCUCUGACGACUCCCUGCUUCCACAACAUGAGGUCGAGGAGAUGAGAUGGUAGUCUGUUUUACUUCUAAAACAGAUGCAUCAUCAUCUCUUAAUUUAGCCGACUUUUACAUGUUGGGGAUGUGGGGAAAAUAUUGUGGCAAGUGUGGAUUCAAAAGGAGGGAUUCGAAGGUCCAAAAAAUUGUUGGUCCUUUGAAUUCCUCCCGUCAAACUUUGGGUCCACACCUGACUGGUUAAGAAAUAAAAUCAUGAUAGAAGUAUUAUUGUCAUUAGGCUUAAGGUACAUUUAGGUAAACUACAUUACGUCAUAAUCGCUCAUUCAUACUUAUCUUACCUAUACUUAGACUAUUAUAUUAUCAUGAAGUAACAUUGUUUAGACAUCUUGGAAAUCAAGUGCCUAAAUAAAUAUAAAUUGAAAA